AGAGUUUGAUCCUGGCUCAGGACGAACGCUAACGGUGUGCUUAAUACAUGCAAGUCGAACGGGCGAUGCAGAAGUGGCAACACUUUUGCAAAGCUAGUGGCGAACGGGUGAGUAACGCGUAGGCAAUUUGCCUUAGAGAUUGGAAUAACCUCUUGAAAGGGAGGCUAAUACCGAAUGCCCUGUUUUUUUCGCAUGAAAUUUAUAGGAAAGGGUGCCGCAAGGCUCCCGCUCUAAGAUAAGCCUGCGUCCUAUUAGCUUGUUGGUAGGGUAACUGCCUACCAAGGCGAUGAUGGGUAGCCGGUCUGAGAGGAUGAACGGCCACACUGGGACUGAGAUACGGCCCAGACUCCUACGGGAGGCAGCAGUAGGGAAUAUUGCGCAAUGGACGAAAGUCUGACGCAGCGACACCGUGUGAAGGAUGAAGGUCUUCGGAUCGUAAACUUCUGUCAAUUGGAGACGAAGGCAGUAGGGUUAAUAGCCUCAAUGCUGACGGUACCCAAUAAGGAAGUCUCGGCUAACUCCGUGCCA
RNAcentral lists this ribosomal RNA (528 nucleotides) under uncultured bacterium. RNAcentral's name for it is "bacterial SSU rRNA". It matches the Rfam family "Bacterial small subunit ribosomal RNA", at positions 8 to 510 of the family's 1533-position model. The record is from RNAcentral.